Molecule: ribosomal RNA, 482 nt
Filed under: uncultured bacterium
Lineage: Bacteria
Description: partial 16S ribosomal RNA
Rfam family: Bacterial small subunit ribosomal RNA
Source: RNAcentral
AUUGAACGCUGGCGGCAUGCCUUACACAUGCAAGUCGAACGGUAACAGGUCUUCGGAUGCUGACGAGUGGCGAACGGGUGAGUAAUACAUCGGAACGUGCCCAGACGUGGGGGAUAACGAGGCGAAAGCUUUUCUAAUACCGCAUACGAUCUAAGGAUGAAAGCAGGGGACCGCAAGGCCUUGCGCGUUUGGAGCGGCCGAUGGCAGAUUAGGUAGUUGGUGGGAUAAAAGCUUACCAAGCCGACGAUCUGUAGCUGGUCUGAGAGGACGACCAGCCACACUGGGACUGAGACACGGCCCAGACUCCUACGGGAGGCAGCAGUGGGGAAUUUUGGACAAUGGGCGAAAGCCUGAUCCAGCAAUGCCGCGUGCAGGAUGAAGGCCUUCGGGUUGUAAACUGCUUUUGUACGGAACGAAAAGGCUCUGGCUAAUACCUGGGGCACAUGACGGUACCGUAAGAAUAAGCACCGGCUAACUACGUG